GAGGACGGGUCAGGCCCCUCGGCUCUUGAUAAGAGGCCGGGAGGAAGAAAGCCGCGGCCGGUCAGAGCCGAGGGGCCCGGGCGACUGUUGUACACCGAAGCAGCCCCGAGGGCUCCGCAGGGCCGCGGAUGCGACCGCGGCUGGGUUUGUUAUUGUCGACUCCGUCUCUUCCUCCGAAGAGCAUGUCGGGAAACGGCCGCUGGGGGGAGGGGCGCGCUGGGAUCCUGGGGCUGCGCGGAGAGGCUUCUGCGCAGGUCCGGAAACCUGCGGAGCGCCGGAAAAGGGGCGGCUCCGCCUUCAGCUGCGUCUAGCCGGGCUGUCCUCCCCUGACCCGGGAGCAUUUUGCUGGGCUUGCCUCUUCUGGUACUAGUUGCUGUCUGGGCUCGCGGACUUCACCAAGGUGAGCUUGACCUUCCUUGGUACAGCGAGUAGGCCCGAGCUACUCAGACCCCGCGGAAUUUGGAUCGGCCCCAAGGAAAAAGAGCUCGGUCCUUUCAGCAUGUCGCCGAAGAUCGGGGCCUGCUGAGGGUCCGGUGCCCUCAUUGCCUGUUUCCCGGACCAGACCAAGGCCAGGGACAGCAUAUGGUACCUAGAGGGCUGUGCCUGGUUCAUGCACUCCUACCGCCAGCGCCGCACCUACCCCAACCAUUGCGGCCGCAGACAGUUGGCAAGAGUCCCUGCUAUCUUUGCCAGGGUUGGUCGGUACAGUUUUUGUCAGACCAGCUUCAGCUCUGCCUUGCUGUGAUCCCCAUCAGAGCAGCCUUCUGUAUUUAUUCUCUAGGCUGCUGCAGAGGAUCCUAGGUGGUCAGAGUGGGGAGCUAACAGACAAACAGCUUGAGGAAAAGCAGAGCACCUCACCUCAGGCAGAAGCAGGGUCCCUUCCAUGUGGAGAGGAAUGGUGUGAGCAAGUGUGGCCCAUCAGAGUGGAGCUGUACAGCUGGACAAUAGAUGAGAAGAAUCUGGAAUCUAACUCCAGAGGGAAAGGCGAGCAACCCAGAACCCGGUAAUAUUUACUUGGCAAGCCACUUUUAGAAGGAGUGUAAGACUUAAGUCUCACUUUUACUCCUG
Molecule: long non-coding RNA, 1068 nt
Organism: Fukomys damarensis (Damara mole-rat)
Lineage: Eukaryota; Metazoa; Chordata; Mammalia; Rodentia; Bathyergidae
Exons: 4
Source: RefSeq, a predicted model, not a curated record